GACGAACGCUGGCGGCGUGCCUAAUACAUGCAAGUAGAACGCAGUUUCGAACGGGUGAGUAACGCGUAGGUAACUGCCUCUUAGCGGGGGAUAACUAUUGGAAACGGUAGCUAAUACCGCAUACCACCGAAUGUGCCCAGAUGGGAUUAGCUAGUAGGUGGGUAAACGGCUCACCUAGGCGCCGAUCCCUAGCUGGUCUGAGAUGAUGACCAGCCACACCGGAACUGAUACACGGCCCAGACUCCUACGGGAGGCAGCAGUAGGGAAUCUGCGGCAAUGGACGGAAGUCUGAACGAGCAACGCCGCGGUAGGGAAGAAGGUUUUCGGAUCGUAAAGCUCUGUUGUUAGAGAAGCGGUAACUAACCAGAAAGGGACGGCUAACUACGUGCCAGCAGCCGCGGUAAUAC
RNAcentral lists this ribosomal RNA (407 nucleotides) under uncultured bacterium. RNAcentral describes it as "partial 16S ribosomal RNA". It matches the Rfam family "Bacterial small subunit ribosomal RNA", at positions 28 to 526 of the family's 1533-position model. The record is from RNAcentral.